AUUGAACGCUGGCGGCAGGCCUAACACAUGCAAGUCGAACGGUAACAGGAAGCAGCUUGCUGCUUCGCUGACGAGUGGCGGACGGGUGAGUAAUGUCUGGGAAACUGCCUGAUGGAGGGGGAUAACUACUGGAAACGGUAGCUAAUACCGCAUAACGUCGCAAGACCAAAGAGGGGGACCUUCGGGCCUCUUGCCAUCGGAUGUGCCCAGAUGGGAUUAGCUUGUUGGUGGGGUAACGGCUCACCAAGGCGACGAUCCCUAGCUGGUCUGAGAGGAUGACCAGCCACACUGGAACUGAGACACGGUCCUGACUCCUACGGGAGGCAGCAGGGGGGAAUAUUGCACAAUGGGCGCAAGCCUGAUGCAGCCAUGCCGCGUGUAUGAAGAAGGCCUUCGGGUUGUAAAGUACUUUCAGCGGGGAGGAAGGGAGUAAAGUUAAUACCUUUACUCAUUGACGUUACCCGCAGAAGAAGCACCGGCUAACUCCGUGCCAGCCGCCGCGGUAA
RNAcentral lists this ribosomal RNA (506 nucleotides) under uncultured bacterium. RNAcentral's name for it is "partial 16S ribosomal RNA". It matches the Rfam family "Bacterial small subunit ribosomal RNA", at positions 30 to 523 of the family's 1533-position model. The record is from RNAcentral.